AUGCAGGGAAUCGCCAAGGCGCUGAGCCAGCACGGGAAGCAGCUGAGGCUCGCCGUGCUGCAGCACAUGAACAAGGGGAUCUUCUCCUGGGCCACCCUCAUCUCGCGCAUUCAGAGCGAGUCCCCGGCCGUGAUCAUCCCUCACAUGGGGCUGGAGAACAUCACCGUCCGGGAGAUCCUCAGGGCCAAAGGGGAGGCCCAGUCCAGGGCGGUCUACUGGUGCAGCACCACCCAUCUGGUGCAUGAGGCCGUCAAGCACAUGACGGCCAAUAAUGUCGGGUCUCUAGUCGUGCUCAAGUCGGGGGACGACAAGCAGCUCGCAGGGAUUGUAACUGAAAGAGAUUUCGCUCGGAAGAUCCUCUUACCCGGGCGACCCUCAGAGGAAACAAGAGUUGAAGAUAUCAUGACAGAAGAGAACAAGCUAAUCACCGUGUCCAGCAAUACCAAUAUUCUGCGUGCAAUGGAGCUAAUGACAGACGAGCACAUUCGACAUGUCCCAGUUUUUGACGAGAAGGUAGUUGGUAUGAUCUCCAUUGGUGAUGUGGUCAGAGCAAUCGUGGACCAACAGCACCAAGAAGUGAAACAACUGAAGAAGUACAUCACAGGGGAUUAUUAUUAG
RNAcentral lists this ribosomal RNA (618 nucleotides) under Triticum aestivum (bread wheat). Its description in RNAcentral is "partial small subunit ribosomal RNA". The record is from RNAcentral. Lineage: Eukaryota; Viridiplantae; Streptophyta; Magnoliopsida; Poales; Poaceae.